GAUGAACGCUGGCGGCGUGCCUAAUACAUGCAAGUCGAGCGAACGGACGAGAAGCUUGCUUCUCUGAUGUUAGCGGCGGACGGGUGAGUAACACGUGGAUAACCUACCUGUAAGACUGGGAUAACUUCGGGAAACCGGAGCUAAUACCGGAUAAUAUUUUGAACCGCAUGGUUCAAAAGUGAAAGACGGUCUUGCUGUCACUUAUAGAUGGAUCCGCGCUGCAUUAGCUAGUUGGUAAGGUAACGGCUUACCAAGGCAACGAUGCAUAGCUGACCUGAGAGGGUGAUCGGCCACACUGGAACUGAGACACGGUCCAGACUCCUACGGGAGGCAGCAGUAGGGAAUCUUCCGCAAUGGGCGAAAGCCUGACGGAGCAACGCCGCGUGAGUGAUGAAGGUCUUCGGAUCGUAAAACUCUGUUAUUAGGGAAGAACAUAUGUGUAAGUAACUGUGCACAUCUUGACGGUACCUAAUCAGAAAGCCACGGCUAACUACGUG
Molecule: ribosomal RNA, 497 nt
Filed under: uncultured bacterium
Lineage: Bacteria
Description: partial 16S ribosomal RNA
Rfam family: Bacterial small subunit ribosomal RNA
Source: RNAcentral